Molecule: long non-coding RNA, 549 nt
Filed under: Cotesia glomerata
Lineage: Eukaryota; Metazoa; Arthropoda; Insecta; Hymenoptera; Braconidae
Description: uncharacterized LOC123261967, transcript variant X3
Source: RNAcentral
CGAAUUGUCUGGAAUUAUUAAUUAUUAUUUAAUAAAGAAUUAUUUGGCUAUAAUAAAUGUUUGUUGAUUAUUUUUAGGUUUUGUGUUACUAGCGGUAAUUUUAUAAGAAAUUAUACUCUCUAGAGUAUAAAUAGAAAGUCUACAAGUAUAUAAGCAUUAAUAUAUAGCUGUGGGCAAAUUGAUCCAAUAAGUUGCUGAGAAUUUAUCGUGGUUUCUUAUUAACUUAAUAAUAAUUUACGUCGAAGUACACGUUGUAUACCGCCAAGAUACAGAAUAGCGCACACGUAGAAAUAUAUGAGACAACGUUAAAUUGCGGAGAAAUUAAAGCUAUAAUUUAACCCGGCAGUUAACUAUUUUCUAUUUUACAUAUACAUAUAUUUCCAUUCAAGUGUGAGUAAAGUGAAACUGAUAGUCGGCAAGAGGAUCACGAUUGCUGAAAAAUUCAGGCACUGUUGCUCUGAGCUUGUAGUAAACGGUCAUACAUUUCUUGGCAGCCUCCAGGUCGAAGUAACAACUGUGAGCAAAUAGAGCUAACUUUUCAUCAGGUAC